RNAcentral lists this ribosomal RNA (396 nucleotides) under uncultured bacterium. Its description in RNAcentral is "bacterial SSU rRNA". It matches the Rfam family "Bacterial small subunit ribosomal RNA", at positions 30 to 424 of the family's 1533-position model. The record is from RNAcentral.
AUUGAACGCUGGCGGCAUGCCUUACACAUGCAAGUCGAACGGCAGCACGGGAGCAAUCCUGGUGGCGAGUGGCGAACGGGUGAGUAAUAUAUCGGAACGUGCCCAGUCGUGGGGGAUAACGUAGCGAAAGCUACGCUAAUACCGCAUACGAUCUAUGGAUGAAAGCGGGGGAUCGCAAGACCUCGCGCGAUUGGAGCGGCCGAUAUCAGAUUAGGUAGUUGGUGAGGUAAAGGGCUCACCAAGCCGACGAUCUGUAGCUGGUCUGAGAGGACGACCAGCCACACUGGGACUGAGACACGGCCCACGACUCCUACGGGAGGCAGCAGUGGGGAAUUUUGGACAAUGGGCGCAAGCCUGAUCCAGCAAUGCCGCGUGCAGGAUGAAGGCCUUCGGGUU